UACACUCCUACGGGAGGCAGCAGUGGGGAAUAUUGCACAAUGGGCGCAAGCCUGAUGCAGCCAUGCCGCGUGUAUGAAGAAGGCCUUCGGGUUGUAAAGUACUUUCAGCGGGGAGGAAGGCAAUACGGUUAAUAACCGUGUUGAUUGACGUUACCCGCAGAAGAAGCACCGGCUAACUCCGUGCCAGCAGCCGCGGUAAUACGGAGGGUGCAAGCGUUAAUCGGAAUUACUGGGCGUAAAGCGCACGCAGGCGGUCUGUCAAGUCGGAUGUGAAAUCCCUGGGCUCAACCUGGGAACUGCAUUCGAAACUGGCAGGCUUGAGUCUUGUAGAGGGGGGUAGAAUUCCAGGUGUAGCGGUGAAAUGCGUAGAGAUCUGGAGGAAUACCGGUGGCGAAGGCGGCCCCCUGGACAAAGACUGACGCUCAGGUGCGAAAGCGUGGGGAGCAAACAGGAUUAGAAACCCCUGUAGUCCCAUGA
Molecule: ribosomal RNA, 477 nt
Filed under: uncultured organism
Description: partial 16S ribosomal RNA
Rfam family: Bacterial small subunit ribosomal RNA
Source: RNAcentral